Carassius auratus (goldfish) is the source of this 1756-nucleotide long non-coding RNA. RefSeq lists it as uncharacterized. The transcript is spliced from 4 exons. The record is from RefSeq and is a predicted model, not a curated record. NCBI's taxonomy places the organism in Eukaryota, Metazoa, Chordata, Actinopteri, Cypriniformes, Cyprinidae.
UUCAUGAGGUAAAUGCUACCAUCUUUUCCCAUUUUAUUUAAUAAGGUUUGCAAGUAACAUUCUAUUACCUUAAUGAAAAAGCACAUUUAAAUAAGAAAUACACAAAACAUGCCUAUUACACAAAAAGGUAACAAUAUUACUGGUGUGCUUUGGCAAUUUAUAUCAUGCAAGUUUGAAAUGCUAAUAGCUCAUGAAUAUUCUUGCCUCUCCCAUGAGCCACUUGUGAGGUUGCAGAGUUUUGAACUCUGAGUGAUGGAGGGUGUACCUAGCCUUUUUUGCUGCUGAUGGUACAACAGCAACCACCACUUCACAAUCGUUUUUGCUCCAAAGGUCCAUUGCUGUGUCUGGAAUCAUCUGGAUGGUAUUGGUGCUGAUCUGUGUAACUUCUGGACUUUGUGAUGGCUGUGGCAGUACUUCAGGUGGGUCAAAGUAUUUUGUUUUAUGUCUGUCCUUGUCCUUUCUUGAUGUUUUCUGUGCCCAUUCUUCUUUCUGGCUGAAGAACUUUUCUUUAGGUUCUGGAUCACGGUAAGGCAGUAACAGAUUGUUGUUAAUUAUGUGUUCUUUGUAUCUGCCUUGGAGAGAUCCAUACAUGUUCUGUAUGAAGUCAGCAGGACGCAGGUACUUCUUCUUUUUAAGGAUGCUGUGUUUAACAAUCCAAAACCACUGUUCCACAUGACAGUUACUUUCCCUUGUUUUGGAUUGUUGGCUGACUGUAGCUGUGCUGAUUUCAGAAAACCGGCUAAGAUCCCCAAGAAGAACUCCACUCCACAGCGGGAAGAUACUCAUGUAGUUGUUCAUGAGGAAGUCGAUGAGCUCUGGACAGAAAAAGAUCCAGGGCAGUUUUGGCUGCAUUCACCACGUCGGUCUCCUCUUCUGAUGUGAAAAGAACAGCCAUAUCUUCAAAUACAGCUGUUGCCUCUUCUAGAUGUGUGCUGUUUAACAACAAGGCAAAGCAAAGGACACUUGAAAUUAGUCCCCAACUGAAGUCCGUCUCCACUUGAUGGACAUGGCAUGAUGUUAUUUGACCAAGAGCCCUUAAUGUUUCCAUCAGCCAGUAUGUCAAGGUUGGAAUUGAGUGCUGAUUUGAUACAAGCUCACUAACUGGUAGUGGCGGCAUGUUUUUGCCCAUUCCUGGCAGUACAAGUGCAUAGUAGAGCACUCUUUUGGGCUGACUGGUAAUGCGGGAGAUAACGCUACCUGUGGCAUCCAGGUGAAGUGUUACUGGUUUUUUUUUUUUAAGAUGCUGGGCCAAAAUUUGUAAACCACAUAGUGUGUACAAAUGUACAGCAAAUGGGUCCACCUGCAAAUGUUGUAAGUAGCCAGCAGUCUCAGGACAAUCAGAUGUAGCACAUUCCUUUAUUAUUUUUUGUGUAAGCAUAAGCUCCAGGAUUAUGUCAUCAUGUAGCCUGGUGCUUUUUUUCAGUUCGCUAGAAAUUACCCUUAACACAUCUUUAGUCAAGGACUGUGAGAUGUUACCUGCCAAAAUCUCUUCUGGUGUGGAUUUUCUUACGGCUUCAUAAUAGUAAGUGCUCACACCUUGUGUGAGGGCCUUUGCAAUUUUCCCCCUUCGUGUAUAUUUGGCUUGUCUGAAUUGUUGGUGAUCGUUUUUGUGUGUUAUGUUUCCAUUGCGAGCAACAAAGACAGUUAUUUUCUUUUUUGAUUUUGUUGGGGGGGGGUUUAUUGUGAAAGUAUAGACUGCUGAACAGUCUUUAAAGGUGCAAGUGGCACGUGCUUUGAAAAAAGGCAGGGCUCGUUU